GGAGGGAUCGCAUAGCCCGGUCUAGUGCGCGGCACUGGAAAUGCCGUUGGGGGCAACCCCUCGGGGGUUCAAAUCCCCCUCCCUCCG
Molecule: transfer RNA, 87 nt
Filed under: Acidimicrobiia bacterium
Lineage: Bacteria; Bacillati; Actinomycetota; Acidimicrobiia
Also listed under: 2 other names
Description: tRNA-Ser
Rfam family: tRNA
About the family: Transfer RNA (tRNA) molecules are approximately 80 nucleotides in length.
Source: RNAcentral